CCUUUGGAGAGCCAUACAAAAUCGUAGUAGCUUAAUGCAAGGCGAGGUUCUAUGAAGAAGGAA
Molecule: non-coding RNA, 63 nt
Filed under: Clostridium perfringens E str. JGS1987
Lineage: Bacteria; Bacillati; Bacillota; Clostridia; Eubacteriales; Clostridiaceae
Description: RAGATH-18 RNA
Rfam family: RAGATH-18 RNA
About the family: Actinobacteria, Firmicutes, Fusobacteria, Thermotogae (1 example). Nearby to self-cleaving ribozyme genes
Source: Rfam by way of RNAcentral